Molecule: ribosomal RNA, 137 nt
Filed under: uncultured bacterium
Lineage: Bacteria
Description: partial 16S ribosomal RNA
Rfam family: Bacterial small subunit ribosomal RNA
Source: RNAcentral
UGGGGAAUUUUGGACAAUGGGCGCAAGCCUGAUCCAGCCAUGCCGCGUGAGUGAAGAAGGCCUCGGUUGUAAGACUCUUUCGGUCCGGGGAACGGAAAUACGUGGUCUCUAACAUAGGCCAUGGAUGACGGUACCGG